RNAcentral lists this ribosomal RNA (497 nucleotides) under uncultured bacterium. Its description in RNAcentral is "partial 16S ribosomal RNA". It matches the Rfam family "Bacterial small subunit ribosomal RNA", at positions 28 to 507 of the family's 1533-position model. The record is from RNAcentral.
GAUGAACGCUGGCGGCGUGCCUAAUACAUGCAAGUCGAGCGAACAGACGAGGAGCUUGCUCCUCUGACGUUAGCGGCGGACGGGUGAGUAACACGUGGAUAACCUACCUAUAAGACUGGGAUAACUUCGGGAAACCGGAGCUAAUACCGGAUAAUAUAUUGAACCGCAUGGUUCAAUAGUGAAAGACGGUCUUGCUGUCACUUAUAGAUGGAUCCGCGCCGCAUUAGCUAGUUGGUAAGGUAACGGCUUACCAAGGCAACGAUGCCUAGCCGACCUGAGAGGGUGCUCGGCCCCACGGGAACUGGGCCAAGGUCCAGACUCCUACGGGAGGCAGCAGUAGGGAAUCUUGCGCAAUGGGCGCAAGCCUGACGGAGCAACGCCGCGUGAGUGAUGAAGGUCUUCGGAUCGCAAAACUCUGUUAUUAGGGAAGAACAAAUGUGUCAGUAACUAUGCACGUCUUGACGGUACCUAAGCAGAAAGCCACGGCUAACUACGUG